Molecule: ribosomal RNA, 902 nt
Filed under: Scolicosporium minkeviciusii
Lineage: Eukaryota; Fungi; Ascomycota; Dothideomycetes; Pleosporales; Phaeosphaeriaceae
Description: SSU rRNA
Rfam family: Eukaryotic small subunit ribosomal RNA
Source: RNAcentral
AACCCCAACUUCGGGAGGGGUGUAUUUAUUAGAUAAAAAACCAACGCCCUUCGGGGCUUCUUGGUGAUUCAUGAUAACUUUACGGAUCGCAUGGCCUUGCGCCGGCGACGGUUCAUUCAAAUUUCUGCCCUAUCAACUUUCGAUGGUAAGGUAUUGGCUUACCAUGGUUUCAACGGGUAACGGGGAAUUAGGGUUCGAUUCCGGAGAGGGAGCCUGAGAAACGGCUACCACAUCCAAGGAAGGCAGCAGGCGCGCAAAUUACCCAAUCCCGACACGGGGAGGUAGUGACAAUAAAUACUGAUACAGGGCUCUUUUGGGUCUUGUAAUUGGAAUGAGUACAAUUUAAACCUCUUAACGAGGAACAAUUGGAGGGCAAGUCUGGUGCCAGCAGCCGCGGUAAUUCCAGCUCCAAUAGCGUAUAUUAAAGUUGUUGCAGUUAAAAAGCUCGUAGUUGAAACUUGGGUCUGGCUGGCAGGUCCGCCUCACCGCGUGUACUUGUCCGGCCGGGCCUUCCUUCUGGAGAACCUCAUGCCCUUCACUGGGCGUGUUGGGGACCAGGACUUUUACUUUGAAAAAAUUAGAGUGUUCAAAGCAGGCCUUUGCUCGAAUACGUUAGCAUGGAAUAAUAGAAUAGGACGUGCGGUCCUAUUUUGUUGGUUUCUAGGACCGCCGUAAUGAUUAAUAGGGACAGUCGGGGGCAUCAGUAUUCAAUUGUCAGAGGUGAAAUUCUUGGAUUUAUUGAAGACUAACUACUGCGAAAGCAUUUGCCAAGGAUGUUUUCAUUAAUCAGUGAACGAAAGUUAGGGGAUCGAAGACGAUCAGAUACCGUCGUAGUCUUAACCGUAAACUAUGCCGACUAGGGAUCGGGCGAUGUUCUUUUUCUGACUCGCUCGGCACCUUAC